This 164-nucleotide ribosomal RNA is filed under the name Dirofilaria sp. MT-2019. RNAcentral describes it as "partial 12S ribosomal RNA". Lineage: Eukaryota; Metazoa; Nematoda; Chromadorea; Rhabditida; Onchocercidae. The record is from RNAcentral.
UACGUUUUAAUUUUUAACUCUAUUUGUUGUGAUAUUAUAAUAUUUUUUUCUUUUUUAUAUUUUUUUUUGUAAAAUAUUUAGAUUUUAUGUUUUUUUUUUAUAAUAUUUAAAAUUUGAUUUUUGAACUGGAUUAGUACCCAGGUAAUCAAAAUUUAUUAAUUCGG